This is a long non-coding RNA of Gasterosteus aculeatus aculeatus (three-spined stickleback), 13448 nucleotides long. The record is from Ensembl. Lineage: Eukaryota; Metazoa; Chordata; Actinopteri; Perciformes; Gasterosteidae.
AAGCUCUCUUAAUUUCCAAUGUUUUCUUGUCAGCUUUAUGAUGUAUGCUUCAUGUUGUCUGAUGUCGCCAUAAUAUGUUGCUGCUGUGUUUACUUUCUUUAGCUUUAUAUGUUUAAAGUAUGAAAUGCUAUGAUGAUGGUGGAUUAUUGUUAUUAUAGUAUAUUAAUAAUGUUUAUAAUAUUGUCUUUUUUUACUUUGCAGUGUAUGUGACUUUUCCUUUCUGGUACCUGGUGGUGGCCCCUUUCCCCUUCACUCUCCCACUCCUUUGGGCCUCCCUGAUACAGUCACCUUGUGGUAAAACACCUGAGUGUAGCGACAUCAUUUUUUAGCAUAGAAGAUAUUUUUGAAAUAAAAGCCUUAUUUUUAAACCGAGACUGUUAACCAACAUGAAUCUAUAAAUAAACUGGACACUGUUCAAAAAAAAUAUAAUUUCACCUCUCUCUUUCUUAAACAAAUAAGAACCUAAUAUUCAUAUGUGGUAUUCUCUGGGUGAAAGUCCCAGAGUGGCGUUGUCUCAUUGCGGCCAGGCACAUCAGUUUCCCCGGUCACAUACACAUGACUUUUCCGGCUCAUCUCUCGCUUCCACACUAGGACAACCCAUCUGUUAUUUUGUGGCGAUGUUUGCAUGUAGUGCCUGCACUGAUGUGACACAGAGACUCAACUCAUGUCAAACAAAUAUUUACAGUUGAAUAUAAAUACUCAGACAAAGGAUGAAUGAAAAGCAGUGUGAUUAUGAAAACUGUAGCUGAAAUUCCCUGCCAACCAUGAGCUGUAAAAAUAGAAGAGGGAGGAUCGAAGUUGCAAAGGCUGUCUCAUAUCAGAUACUUUUCAUUCAUCUAAAAUUGAACCCAUUGUACAAAAUCAGCAUUUAUUAAGUUUUUAUUGAAAUAUUUUAUUUUAAUGCAAAUAAUUUUACUCUUGCGACAGCCUUGCGAUGUCCUGACUUUUGUUUUAAAAUAAAACAUUGAACAACUGUCUUGUUUAGCUAAAAAAAGUAUUCUUCAGCGGUUAAAAUAACAUACUGACAGUAAUAUUUAAGACAUGUUGAAAUGAAAUUAACUUCACUGGCCUGCAGUUGUUAUUGCUGGCCAAACACACCAGGCUGCAAUACAAGUGAGUAGAUUAAUUAUUUUGAUCCCUAAUUUAGUAUACCUAGUGAGGACAUUUCCACUUUUUAAAAUUCUUUUAUCUCAGCAGUACUGCUGCUUUGCUGUGCGGAUACACAGCUGGGAGUGAAUUAAGAAUCCAUGUCCGCUGAGCAUCUGUUUAGUAGAGAAGAUAAUGUCUGCUGCACCCCCACCCUCUCUACCACACAUACACUCCAGGUCUGGCGUGAUAUGCAGCAGCCUAAAUGCCUAAAUGGUGACAGUCUAGCCAGAGACUGUGUAAGAUAAAUUUCAAUGUCUCACUAUUAAUGGAAGUUUGUAGAGAGGCAUUGCGAGUAAUCUGCAGGUAAAAAACAACUGGAAUAAAUUAUGUCAUUUUCUCUGCUGUCACACUUUGUUUUUUUCAAAUAAAAUAACUUAAAGAACCUCAGUUGUUACAAUGGGAACAUCUAUUGCUCCUUUUGUUUUAGGUCACUUUACUCAACAUUUGGACUUUUAUGUUGUGGUCCUCGGCACAAUCGGUCCCUAAAACAGCAUGUGACAUUAUCCUAUUUGACUCAAUCAGUUUAGAAGCCAUUAUUUUUCCUCUAAGACUUUGCCCUUGUCCAACUAUAAAUGCUAUGAGAGUUAAGGGUGUUCUAUGCCCAGAGCUCCCUGAUGUAUUUAUGUACCACCAUCUUUUUUUUUUAAGCUUAACCGUACCGUGUGGAUGGCAACUUGUAACCGGAGAUGAGAGUGGUUACCUGGGCCCCAUUUUGUGUCUCUAAUGAGUCUCCGCUUUGAACAACAUUGUAGGUAAAUUAAAAUCUCUUCAGAUAAGUGGCAAAAUGCUCUAAAAAUAAACUGAUUUAUUCCAAGCUGACAAGCCAUUGAAGCAUCUACAAAAUAUGUGUAUACUUGUAUGUAUAUUUCUAGUAUGUUUAAAAAUAAGAAUGAGAUUAUGUAUGGACUGAUUUAAAAGAAAUCUGUUGAUAAUGAAUUUUACUGCUCAAUUGGCCUUGCAGCAGAUUGUGUUGAAGCAUUUACUGGAUCUACCAGAUGGGGACCUAAUGAGCCUUUUUCCGAAGCAACACACAGAUGGAGACAAUCUACUGUUUGCAUUCACACUAGCAUGUUCCCGUUUUGGGGGAUGGAAAUUUGAUUUCUCUGCAUAUGCCCGCCCAUUCACAAACCUUGCCCACAUUGAUGAACAGACAAAUCCAUGUACAUCUUCUGGUUUUAACGGUUUACCAGCAUAGAGGUACAUCUAUAGUAUCUGCUGAUGCCACCAGCAAUAUUGUUCCUCCCUGUAAUGAACUCAAGAAAAGAACUAUGGAUCAGCCAUGAUGUGAUCUGUCCGCCAAAUGUAAUACAGAAUGGGAUUUUUUAAAUGGAUGCGACUGGACGAUCAAAUCCAUUAGCGUAUACCUAAGGUGGGCUUAGCACUGAUUGGCCUAAAGGAGAACUGAACACAUCUAUAACAGCCAGUGUGACGGGGUAUUACUUAUGGCAAUAUGCAUGAAAGCGUUAUUCAGAGUCGUAUGUAUAUUUGACAUGCUAAAAGUUAACAAGAAAAAUGCAAAGCUCCAUCAAGCAACAUUUUUGAUGUUGCCACUAACCCUUGCUCUGUUGAGUUGCAUCUGACCAAAAAAAUAAUUCAUAUAUAGUAGUAAAAGCAUCGGGCAUGCCAUGUCCAAGUUUAUACCCACAUUGUUUUGUGUCAGACUUCACAUUCUCAGUUUCUAAUCUAAUGAUGAAGAGUGUUACUGACUUCAUUGAAAGGCAGCUUUUCCGUGCUAUCUUCCCAGAUAGGUAUAUUAGGUGUCAGUUGUGCUUUCUGUUUUACUUUGAUCCACACCCAACAGUGAUGUUUACAGCAUCACACUCCAACACACACCCCAAAGCGUAAAUCUAUAUCACUGAAACAACUGUAAAACUGUAAACCAUAAAAACUCAUGCUACUGUGAUAUGAUUGGGUUUAAUGUAUAUAUUUUUCAGUGACAGACUUUUUUUUUUUUCAGAAACACCUUUUGCAGCCUCAUCAUGUGGAGAAAUUUGGAAAUUAUCACACCUUUCCAUUUUCCUAUAAAUAUAUUUUGAACCUUAAAAAAAGGCCAUUUGAUGAUUAAAAAAAAAAAAAAUUCCACAAAAUUAUUAGAUCAACUUGAUGGUUUAAAGUACACAUUUUAAACAUAAUUAGAACCAAGUGGGAUAAUAAACUUAUUUUAUGCAACAUACAUUUUGGUAGAAUCAGAAUCAGUUGUUAUACUUCAUAGCCUCAACAAACUAACAAACUAAGACUGUAAUCCAACCGGAAAGAUGCCACUACAGUUCAUGUUAACAAAACUCUUCAGCAAAUAUGAUAGCCUUAAACAGCCAUCUACCCAAUGAGUUUAAAUGUUUAAUAAUGGCUGCAUGUGUGUCUGCUUCAUGUGGUAGAAAGAUUAGUGUUUAAUAAUGACAAAGACCGUGGGUCUGUUACAGGGUAUCAUUUUAUUUACAUUACAUUACAGAUCAUUUAGCUGACGCUUUUAUCCAAAGCGACUUACAUUACACUUUAAACCCAUGGCUUAACAUUUUGCCCGGGGAGCAAUUAGGGGUUAGGUGUCUUGCUCAGGGACACUUCAACUUAAAACAUGGAGCAGCCGGGACUCAAACCACCAACCUUGCGGUUCCCAGUGCACCCGCUCUACCCCCUGCGCCACGACGACCCCAUUUAGACGACCCCAUAUUUAAAAUGUUUUUCAUACAUUUCUUUCCAGUACUUGCUUCUUCUAGAAAGACAAGGAGACCACCUAUCUCGGUGAGAAUGCAACCUUGCCUCACUGACAUAAUAUCAGAAAAGAUGUUUACAUGUCUUGCAUCAUUGGAUUAUUACUUUUUGUUAUUUUUAAUAACAAGGUAGCUGCAUAUAGUCUUAUGUUACCAAUGCUUUAGUCUCCAGCACACAAUACUGUUUCUGCAGUUUAGUAAAAUUGAUGAACACUUUUUUAAACCUCCCUUGACAUGGGAUAAUCCAGGAAUAUAUAAGAACACGGACAUUGAGUUAGAGCAAAUAGCAAAUAUCCGAAAAUGUGUGAGCACUUGAAGAACAGCCAUAUGAUGGUUUAUGUGGUCAGACUUUCAAAUGUGCCUCUAAAAAACGAUUUGCUUGUUAUAAUGGUGAUAUAGCUUGGUUGGUGUGGUUAAGUUUUAUUCUAGAUGUUGCAAUCAUCCAUCGUGCACUUAUUAUGCUACAAUGACUGUUUUAAAAGUACCAUUACUUUUUUUAACAUUUAAAUUGUUUAUAAUCAUCGGCUUACACAUAAGUACUUCUUAUUCCUAUUCUAACACUCACUCUUUAAGCAUAAAUAAAUCAGUAUGACAAAAUAUCAGAUUGGUAGUAUAAAAAUGUCAUCUUUACCUCCAGCAGUACAUUCCUGUAAAAACAAAAAUGUGUCAGUUCCAAAAAAUCAUGGAUUUUCAUUUGACAUUCAUCUUAAAAAUGUAUCAAUUACUAUCAAUUUGAAAAUAACCUACAGCAAUUAUCCUAUUUACGCAUUUACACAGUUGACUUGUUUAUUUUGGCAGUUGUCCUCUCUGUAUAUGGCUGCCGUGCCUUGCCUUAACGUCUUCAUGUUUGAGCAUUAUUAUUUCACAAUUAGUGCUAUGUUCUGUUUGUGCUAUAAUGAAUCAGUUGCUCAUACUCUUAUGAAACUUGAUCUGGUAUGGUGGGUAAAUUGUGCAGCAUAGGUCACUACCGUGGUCCAUCUGGUCAAGAAGUAAACCAAACCGUAUGAAAAUCGCCUCACCAGCAAGCCUUAUAUAAUUCUACCUCACCUCAAAGAGCCCUGUAGACCAGCGCGUUCUUCUUGUACUGGCUUGUAUCGCAUGGAGCUUUCUUCACAUCUCCAAUGAUAUAUUUAUAUUGACAAUUUCUUUUUGUUUAUACAUUUUAAUUUGACCAUUCAUAGUGACUAUUACUAUUUCAAUGCUUUUGAAAGAUUAAUUUUAUUGUUCACCAUAGUUUUAUCGUACCAUAGAGAUGGAUCAAGAGACUGGGUGUCACGCUUCCACGGUGAUGCUGUCGCCGUAACUGCAGCCUAUAAGCAGUGCAGAUCUAUCCACGCCAACAAAGCACGGGGAAGCUCAUCUUCUAACCUCACGAUUGCUGUAAGCUGUAAGCCUUGUUUAAUUAUUAAUGACAGUUUUAUAUUAAUCAUCUUUUUCAAAGAGCACUUUCUAAGACCCGAAUGCCAGCAGAAUGUGCACUCUCUCUCAAACAGCUGCAUCUACAAGGAGGUUUGCACAAAGAAUCAGAAGGGGGGUUUGUUACUCAUUCAGUCACGUUGUACCACAGCUCAAACAGUUAGGAAGGGUUGAUUCCUUUUUGUAAGAAAUCUGCUUCCAAACAACAGAUUUAAAUGGAAAGGGGUUUAUAAAAAACGUUUUAUGUUCUUCAAACAAUGGAUACAGUAAAUGCAGGAAUAAAUUAUCAACCUUCAACCUCCCACACAAUAUUUCCGUUCCGACACAGCAAUAGAAAGGCCUCUACGGGACAUUGAAUUAUCCAGAUGCUAGAUAGUGUAAUCAACAGAUGUUGCUUCAGCUGGACUUUCAGUGCGUUGUGCCCUAUAUACAGUGGAUGCAUUCACACAGCACACUUGUAGAUAUUUAUAUUUGCCCUCAACCAAUCGAUAUGUUUAAUAUUCAUUGAAAAAGACCAUAGAAUACAAUAAAGACAAUUUUAAAAUGGCCUACUGUUAUGUAGUUAUUGUCAUCAUACUGUUGGUGGCUUGAAUUGAUACUUAAUUAAUUGACACAAAAAGUCACAAAUUGUGUGAUAGAAUAUUAGAAUUAUCCAUAUUGGCUGCAGUUGGUGAAUGUUUUCAUUCAAAUUCAGUAACAAAAUAUAAAAAUUUGACUCCGGUUAGUCGUCAGUCUCAACAUAGUAUAUACACAGCACAUACAAAUAAACAAGAAAUGAUAAAUACAAAAUAAAAAAACAAUACAAGAAGAACAUAACAACAAACAUUUAACAACUAAAUAUAUAUGAACAUAAGCUGUAUGAGCUAGUCAUCAGCACAAUGAUGUUUAACUACUUCAAGCACUCUGGUUAAGUGCACAAUACAAACCACAACAAAUACAAAUUUGUAAAAGUAUCUUUUCGCCACAAUUUCUUCAGGGCCAAUAAGAGCAGAAUUACCCACCCGAAAAUCUUUCUCGAAACACAUGUUCCAAUAUCUUCGCAUGGUCCAUAUACUGUUUUAAAUAUAAACUAUUUUUGGAUAUUAUUCCAGUGAAUAUCAUUCAAUUCGGUACACAUUAUGAAUGAAUGUCAAACGGUUCUAAAUGUGCCACAACAAGCAGACUUUUCUUUCGACUCCCCCCUUCCUUUUCACACCACUUGAACUACAAGUUUAUAAAAAAAGGCCCCACGGCGGAGUUCUUGGAUUUCUCCCAGGGUUCACGAAUGGAUGCAGUGGAUUGUAGAGGGGAUUGACCGACUAAGGUGAUGAGCUUGUUGCUGAUCCUAUUUCUGGUGUGUCAUACGGGCCAAUCUGUGGUGUUAGUGCAGUCACUGUUUUCACCUGUUGUUUCUGGUAGCCGCCAUGUAACGGUGACACAUGAGAUCACAUCUCUUAUUGCCAAUAUAAUUAUAUCCGUGACAGCUGACAUUUAAUGUAUGACUCUUAUAAGAUCGAUCAAAGCGGUUUUAAAUUCAGAUAACAAAAAGUUAGUCUUCCCAUCUUCCUUCUCUGACAUAAAGAUGUCAUGCAGAAAAUAACAACUAUAUGUUUUCAUUAUGUUCAAAUCAAAAUUGCUUUUUUGUGUAGGGUAAAUAGCAAAUACACAUUGUUGGCAUUAAUUUGUAAUGUUUAAAGAUAGUGGGUUUUUGUGUUUGUCUGUCAAGAGGGUACCCACACUGUAAAAAAAGUACGUAGUUUACGGUAAUAAACUGUUAAAUCGCAAGACCGUUGAUUAAAAAUAGGUCAUCUUCUGUUUCUAUCACAUUGAAAUACUGUAUAUGUAUAUAUCAGCACAAACCAUAAUGUAUGCAUCUAUUUCUUGUAAGAAAUACAUUUUCUCACUGUUAAUUGUAACGAUAACGGAAAUACACCGUAUUAUGAAAAACACUCUGUACCGUAAUUUUUACAUUUAUGACUUAAAAAAAAUACAAUCUGUCCCUGUUAAAUGUACAGACUACUGUGCUGACAACCGAAAUAUAACGUAUUUUAAAUGUAACAGCCAGCCCUGUUAUUUUUGCAUUUAUUAUAUGCAAAGGAUAUAGUUGGUCACUGUUAAUUGCACUAAAAAUUGUACUGAUGACGGUAAUACACCGUAAUAUGAACAACACUCAAUACCGUAGUUUUUGCAUGUAUUACUAAUUAAAAAUACAUUUUGUUACUGUUAAAUGUACGGACUAUUUUGCUGCAAAUGGAAAUAUAACGUAUUAUGGCGUUCACAGCAGGUCCUGUAUUUUUUGCAUUUAUUAUUUGUACAAAAUACAGUUUAUAACUUAAGUGCACAAAAGAUUGUACUGAAUAUAAAUAACAGGCAAUACUGACAUUUUUGCAAAGAUUAUCUGUAAAAAAACACAUUUUGUUAGGUUACAUUUACCACUGUGCUGAUUACAGAAAUACUUUAAUAUAAAUACAACAGUCACCACUGUAAGUGUACUAACCAUUGUGCUAAUAACAGAAAUAUACCGUGGGGAAGUUAACAUGGGUAUAUUAACGAUUCAGAUUUUUUGUGGAAAGGCUGGGACAGAGAGACGGAGAGAAGGAGACAGUUUGAGAGAUACAGAGACAGAGAGACAGAUUGAGAGAGAGAAAGACAGAGAAAGGGAGACAGAUUGAGGGAUAUGGAGAGAGACAGAAGGAAAGAGAGACACAAGAGAAGGGCAGAAGUGUGGUAGUGUUAAAAAAAAACUCCAACGUUCAGAAAUUGAACUUUUCAACUCCACUUCAGCGCCAUUUCUACGCACUCUGCAUUGCUGGAACAACGGCCUGACGGACUCCGGACUACAUUUCUUCUUGAGGAGCUGUGGUCUCCUCCUGUUCAUCCCCGAAGGGUGUGGCUGGAACAGCUGACGGCAAUCAGCCAUCAGGGGACUCUCCUACAUCAACCCGGGUCUUCCUGCCAUUCAGCGCCAGAUCCUUCUGUCGUCAGAGAGAGAGGAUCAUCCCAAUCCGCAGUGAACACCUGAGGAUACAAGUCCUCAAGCAGAAGGUCCCGAACCGCUUCGCUUCCUGGAUCUUUAUUUACAAUAAGCUUUAUUAAAUAUUUCCUGAUGUUGACUGAAAUAUAUGCCAACCAAUUGUAAUACAUUAUGCCUCAUAUUUUUGCAAUGGAAUUCUGGCAAAUAGUUGCUGGCAAUUUGCUUUGAACUUUGUAAUAAAAUACCGUAACUCAUAGUUUUACUGUGUUUAUCUCGAAGAAAGACCUUAAUUAGGUUCACAGAAUAAAUGCUCUUUUUAAAAAAAUAUACCGUAUUGUCUUUUACAAACAAAACGGUAAUUUACCGUAUAUUUCAAAGAUUUUUUUUUUUUUUUGCAGUGUCUUUUUUUUAAUCAUUUACUGUAAACAAAACGAUUCUCAACUGGGAAUUUUACGGGUGCAAAAAAACAUACCGUAAUGUAUUAUAUGGUGUCACUUUUUUUUUUUUUUUUUAAGGUAAACCUCUGGCAACCACAGCUGCCAGUAAUUUACCGUAUAUUUCACGGAUUAUUUUUUGCAGUGCAAGACACUGCUAUUAAAACUUAAGACUCCAGAAUUUCAGAAAGCAGUCCAUGAGACUUUACAAAUUUGAAAGUCCGAUGGCAAAAAGCAGGAAUAUGGAAACUAUUACCAGCAGUCAUCCCUACCCACAGAUGUACACUCCCUCCCACACACAAAGCAGCUAAAAAGUAAUUAUGCAAAAGCUUCAGUGCUUGCCCCUGGCCAUUGAGGAGUUUAGAUCCCGUUGAUGCAAUCGGGGGAACAUAACCAUUUGUUUGCAGUUCUAGGGCAAAUGUGAUUAUUUAUUCCACUUUUAGCGUUAGUUUGGGUAUACUCCAAUUCCGUAGGCAAGCAUCUGGCCACUUGAAUAGCUGCUAAAUGUUCCAUUACGUCAGUGUUUCUCUCUAGUGUGUCACAGUGGUAUCGCAGGUGGGUCAUAUGGGGAAUUAUUUUAAAUCAAGAACUUUAUAGAGAACUUCCCAUCUCACAAAAGUGAAAAGGACUGCUGUUUCCUCUCUCAAAACUAAACGCAGAUCAUUGAGCAUGAAUGAAGCCGAAUCAAUCUGCAAUCCUGUUAUAAAAAAGAGUUGCGGUAAAAUAAAAAGGAAAGCAGGCUUUUUGCAGCCACAAAUAGUCAGUUUUAGAUGGUCCACACAUAUCUCCACUAAUCUUGUUUUAUUUCACAUAGGUUGCAUAGCCACUAAUUACAGCCACAAUGAAAUAAUUACUGCUUUUUUUUUUGCACAGAAAAAACUUAAUCAACAUUGUUAAACAGCAUGGUUGUACAUUUUAUUUGUUUUACAUACAUAGUCAUGUGGUCUUAUAUAUCAGCCAGCACAGUUGUCUGUUUGUGUAUUUAUACAACGUGUGUUUGUCUUGGCUCAGUCUGUGAGGCUGUAAGAGCUCCAGUAACAGCACAUAUCUGUCCUUCUCACUGCUUACCAAUAUCUGGCCAUCUGAGGCCUCUGUGACAAACACUCACCUUGAGUGCUGAAUCACCCAUCCCUGGGGCCGGCCGUCUCUGCCUGAUGAAUUUUCUUUGGAAAGAAAGGAGGGGUUAUCUAAGAGGUCACUGUAAUGGGAGCGACAUUCAUCAAUCUUUGCUCCAGAGGAAGCGGCUGAAAUUGGAAAACGGAAAAAGGUAGUGAUUCUUGCAGGCGAGGAGCGGCACAGAUGUGGGAAAGGGGAAGAAAACAAACAAACAGCUUCAACUCAGAGUCGGAGGAUAGCUAAUGGAUUGAAGAUAUGGCAAGUGGGUAGUGCAUGUUUACAUGUUGUAAACUGCAGUCAGCUCAUUCAUCAGAGGUGCCUUAAUAUUCCCUCUAGCCGCCUUUGCUUUUUCUUUGUUAGCAGUCGCCGCACCUUCAUCCACACUGGAGUAAACUCAUCUCAAACACUGAAGUGAAGUAGUGUGUUCAUUUAGAAUUAUGCAUGCAAGCGCACAGAUGCGUUUAUAUAUGUAUGUUUAACAUACGUCUUCAUGUCAUUACUCUCCUUGUGAAGCGUUUUCAUAUUCGCCCUCCAAUCAAGUAUUAUGUUUUCCUAUUCAGAGAAGGCGUACCAUAUUUGGAGCUUUUCAAAUAAGUGUAUUAUUUCAGUGUGUUUUGUUUCCACAUUCCCUGACACACAGUUGGCCGGAGACUCUGAAUUGCCCAAAGGUAUGAAUACUAAUGAUUGUUUAUCUGUUAGCUCUGAUGGACGACUUGAUUAGCGUUUUAAAUGGAGAGCCCUGCAAGAUCCUGGAACUAUGGAAUGGAAUGAGCAAAGACAAUGGCUGAAGCAGAUAAAAACCAGGAUUAUUGUGCACAACACAUACUGGGAAAACAAAUGAAUACUUUUUGUAAUGUGUAGCAGUCUUUAUUUUUAUGACUGCUUAUAAUCUCUUGUUUCUCUUACCUCACUUAAGUGUUCAGUUGGCAUGUGAGCUUGUUUUUUACACCAGGAAGACGAUGUCUUCCUACACACGACUAAUUAAUCGCAUUAAUGUGACAUUUCGAAUCUCAAACGUAUUAAGCAUAUAAGGGAAAGAUCGACAGUGAAAUAUCCGACAGCAUCGUAGUCCAGAGGAUUAUCUACGUGUGAUCUAAAAAAUAAUGGUCAAACUUUAUUUUUACACCAAAUGCACUGCACUCACAUACGGUAUAAUGUAAUUAACCUUUGUGGACUUUAGCAUAUCAAUCAUGGCCAGAUUUAAAAGAAAAUAACAAUACCAAAAGUGUUUGUGUUAGCUUAAGGUGGCAAGGAGUCAUGUUUACACAUUACCUCAAUUUGACAGCCAGUGGACGAGCAACAUCAGGGAGAAACAAAUGCAAUUUAGUAGGGGGUGCAUGGGGGAUGAUAGGGUUCAUUCUGCCAAAUGGAGUGAUGACUAUGUUACCUCGGGGAAGGAUAUGCUAAGUGCCCAAAGGCAGACGAGCACACAAUGGAGUUCAGGGGUGAAUCAUAGGCAAAAAAGAAUUUUAGCUUGAAAUUCAGUAGCUUAUAGAGAAAGGGCAGAGGAGGUGAGGAGAGAAGGUAAGGUUGAGUAUUCUGUAAUGGAGGGGUUAAAUUGUGAAGUUUGUCUUCUUAAUUUAUGCAAAUUUCUACUGCAGACAGCUUUGAAAGAUAUUUUCCAAUCCUUGUCUAUCCUUUCAAGGUGGCUGUAUUGUAUGUAGAGCUGCUCCUUGUAGGUUGAAUAGCCGACCAAUCACUUCUUCUCUUUGUCGACCAAGCAGUAUAUUUUUCAUGCUGAAUGACAUUUUUUCAAUAAACGUGGGAACACAUCCAUAGAAACUGUUGAAACAAUUCCUCAAAGUGUAUUUGUUAUGUUAAUAUUUACGUAUUUACUAAUAACUACCUCAUUUGUCUUGAUGGAUGCAACUGUAGAGAAGUUAACACAGAUUAUUAUUAUACUUUAGACAAGGGUCAUGUAUCCCUCUGUCUUAAGCUUCAUGUCGUUAUGUUCUCCUACUUAAACCCCAUUUCUUUGCUCGAGAGUUCACAUAAGCCAAAAUAUAUGCACAUUGUAAACCUUUUCGUCAAAAUGUCUUUUUAAAUUGUUGCUGAAACAACUAUUUCCCUCUCAAUGCACAGUGUGUGAGUCCUACUUGGAAAGAAAUAUGUUUUUAGUGCAAACACCGAAGUAUCAAUAUUCUUCGGUUUAAUCAGUAUUUAUAUUCAGAUACUUGAAAAAGAAUUCUCCAAAAACAAUAUGUUCUAGUUUGCAAAUUGAGAAAAUAUAUUUUUUUUUUGCGUGUCUCAGAAGUAUUCAAGAUAUGUUUUUAUAUCCUAUUUUCUCCCAAACGCCUUCUUUUUUGUUGAUUUGUUCAUUUUUAAAUCUUAAAUUUUGAACAUUGUUUUCUCAGUGUUUAACUACGCAAGAGGUCAUUUGUCAAAUGUCCACUGAGCGUGGAGAAGACUGAAUCUGGAUGUUCAGCUGGAUUAAAAGUGCAGCCCCGUUGGCUAAAUAUCCCUCUCUAAGGUUUUUCCAAAGACAGCUCCUUUGGGACUAAAUAUGGGAAGUAGGUCAUGCCUUUUGGAACCGCCAUUUUCUGUUGGUACAGCAUUAAUUUUUCAUGUACAUGAAAGUCCCGUAUGGAUAAGGAGAGGGAAUGGUUUGGACAGUAUGCAAACACAGUAGAAUGCAAAUCAAUAUAGUACAUCCACAGUACGGGAAUAUAAGUUAUUAUAGUGAAAGUAAAAGUUUGUAAUCACCUCAAAUCCGAUAUGCUGAAUUGCUUAAUUUUCCUAUUUCAACCAAAAACUGAGAACAAAUGGAAAUGGAAGUAAGAUGAAUACAAGAAAAAAAAAAACUUAGUGACUUUCUUUUUCAUGUUUGAAAUAAAUGAUCACAUUCCCCUCAUUAUUUCCCCAAAAUGUCCCAAAAGAAAAUAAUUUGACUGCAAAUUAUCUUCUUAGAUGAACAGGGAAGAUCAAGUGAACUGCACCAUGUUUUUUGCUAAAGGAUAAAUUAGUAAUAAGUUUUGAUCUUUACGUGCACAUAUGAUUACUUUUCAGAAACGUAGGCUAGCUUUGGAGACGCGCUGUCAUUUCCUAAUUAUUACAUUACAGGUAAUUUAGCAGACGCUUUUAUCCAAAGCGACUUACAUUACACUUUAAACCCAUGACAUUUUUUGCCCAGGGAGCAAUUAGGGGUUAGGUGUCUUGCUCAGGGACACUUCGACAAGGAACAUGGGGCAGCCUGGACUCGAACUUCCCAGCACACCUUCUCUAACCCCUGCGCCACGAUGACCCCUAAUCUCUUAUUGUUACUCAAUGUAAAAAUUGACUCAGGCAUAUAAAGAGGGCAAUGUUAUUAAAAUCAUUCAUGAAACAAAAUGGAAAAGUUAAUGACUAUUACUGAACAUCAGUGUUCCUAGUCACCGUGGAGAGCGGACUGAGUGAUAACUAUACUUUAUCCAUUACUAUACAAUACGAUUAAUCUUAAUUGUAAUACACACAUUAAUGGCAAACAACGUAUGUCGAUAUAUUUAUUGACAAUUGCAAUGUGCCCGGUUACUUUUGGUCUCCCUGGGGUAACAAGAAGGCGGAUACACAUGGGUUGUUGUUAAGUCAUUUUUAUUGUUUAGGAUUGGCAGGCAAAAUCAAACUUUACUUUGUACCAGUUCUCCUGUGUCCUGUGCUCUCUCGACUGUUUCAGUCCAGCGCUCCGAUCGCCAUUAC